This 101-nucleotide ribosomal RNA is filed under the name Muribaculaceae bacterium. The record is from RNAcentral. Lineage: Bacteria; Pseudomonadati; Bacteroidota; Bacteroidia; Bacteroidales; Muribaculaceae.
GCGAAGACAGCAUAAGGGCUCCACCUCUUCCCAUUCCGAACAGAGAAGUUAAACCUUAUCACGCCGAUGGUACUGCGAAAGCGGAAGAGUAGGUAAUCGCC